AAGCGACUGAUCCCAUCUAUGU
Molecule: microRNA, 22 nt
Filed under: Callorhinchus milii (elephant shark)
Lineage: Eukaryota; Metazoa; Chordata; Chondrichthyes; Chimaeriformes; Callorhinchidae
Description: Cmi-Novel-14_5p (mature (co-guide))
Source: RNAcentral